GACAGAGGGUGCGAACGUUGCUCGGAAUCACUGGGCGUAAAGCGCGUGUAGGCGGAUCGGAAAGUCAGGUGUGAAAUCCCUGGGCUCAACCUAGGAACUGCAUCUGAAACUUCCGGUCUAGAGUGUCGGAGAGGGAAGCGGAAUUCCUGGUGUAGAGGUGAAAUUCGUAGAUAUCAGGAGGAACACCGGUGGCGAAGGCGGCUUCCUGGACGACUACUGACGCUGAGACGCGAAAGCGUGGGGAGCAAACAGG
This 253-nucleotide unclassified non-coding RNA is filed under the name Sandaracinus sp. RNAcentral describes it as "partial 16S ribosomal RNA". It matches the Rfam family "Bacterial small subunit ribosomal RNA", at positions 524 to 776 of the family's 1533-position model. RNAcentral also lists the same sequence under 1 other name. The record is from RNAcentral. Lineage: Bacteria; Pseudomonadati; Myxococcota; Polyangiales; Sandaracinaceae.